This 521-nucleotide ribosomal RNA is filed under the name uncultured bacterium. Its description in RNAcentral is "bacterial SSU rRNA". It matches the Rfam family "Bacterial small subunit ribosomal RNA", at positions 777 to 1304 of the family's 1533-position model. The record is from RNAcentral.
AAUAGAUACCCUGGUAGUCCACGCCGUAAACGAUGGAUACUAGCUGUUUGAGCGCAAGUUUGAGUGGCUAAGCGAAAGUGAUAAGUAUCCCACCUGGGGAGUACGGGCGCAAGCCUGAAACUCAAAGGAAUUGACGGGGGCCCGCACAAGCGGUGGAGCAUGUGGUUUAAUUCGAUGAUACGCGAGGAACCUUACCAGGGCUUAAAUGUAGAUUGACGUAUUUGGAAACAGAUAUUUCUUCGGACAAUUUACAAGGUGCUGCAUGGUUGUCGUCAGCUCGUGCCGUGAGGUGUCAGGUUAAGUCCUAUAACGAGCGCAACCCCUGUUGUUAGUUGCCAGCGAGUAAUGUCGGGAACUCUAGCAAGACUGCCAGUGUAAACUGUGAGGAAGGUGGGGAUGACGUCAAAUUAUCACGGCCCUUACGUCCUGGGCCACACACGUGCUACAAUGGCCGGUACAGAGAGCAGCCACUUAGCGAUAAGGAGCGAAUCUAUAAAGCCGGUCACAGUUCGGAUCGGAGU